Molecule: ribosomal RNA, 437 nt
Filed under: uncultured bacterium
Lineage: Bacteria
Description: bacterial SSU rRNA
Rfam family: Bacterial small subunit ribosomal RNA
Source: RNAcentral
UCAGGCCUAAACACAUGCAAGUCGAACGGCAGCACGGGAGCAAUCCUGGUGGCGAGUGGUGAACGGGUGAGUAAUACAUCGGAACGUGCCCAGUCGUGGGGGAUAACUACUCGAAAGAGUGGCUAAUACCGCAUACGACCUGAGGGUGAAAGCGGGGGACCGCAAGGCCUCGCGCGAUUGGAGCGGCCGAUGUCAGAUUAGCUAGUUGGUGGGGUAAAGGCCCACCAAGGCGACGAUCUGUAGCUGGUCUGAGAGGACGACCAGCCACACUGGGACUGAGACACGGCCCAGACUCCUACGGGGGGCAGCAGUGGGGAAUUUUGGACAAUGGGGGCAACCCUGAUCCAGCCAUGCCGCGGGCGGGAAGAAGGCCUUCGGGUUGUAAACCGCUUUUGUCAGGGAAGAAACGCGCUGAGCUAAUAUCUCGGCGUAAUGAC